Long non-coding RNA from Argiope bruennichi, 181 nucleotides. RefSeq lists it as uncharacterized. NCBI's taxonomy places the organism in Eukaryota, Metazoa, Arthropoda, Arachnida, Araneae, Araneidae. The transcript is spliced from 3 exons. The record is from RefSeq and is a predicted model, not a curated record.
AGGAAGCAGUUUGAAAGAACAAUAGAAUGUUCAAGAUUUGGUUUGUUAGAAUUUUUAUUUUUAUCGGAUGUGCAGGCUUAUCUCUAAGUAGGGGCGAUGGUGGUCAACAGAACUGGCCGCAGCAGGACUGGAAUAUGAAAGGCGGUCAAACAAAAGGUCCUCUGGGAGGAUGGGAUGACGA